GCACCUUGCGCCCUUUGGUUAUUCCGGAGGGCAUGCCUGUUUGAGUAUCAUGAACACAUCAACUCUUCAUGGCUUGCGUGAUGAGCUUGGACUUUGGGGGUCUUUGCUGGCUUGCGGUCAGCUCCCCUCAAAUGGAUCAGCUUACCAGUGUUUGGUGGCACCACAGGUGUGAUAACUGUCUACGCUUGGGGUUUUUCCACCAGGUAACCUUCUGCAGCGGAGGUUCGCUGGGGCUCAUAACGUCUCCCCUAGGUGAGACAGCUCUUGAAUGUUUGAUCUCAAAUCAGGUAGGACUACCCGCUGAACUUA
RNAcentral lists this ribosomal RNA (309 nucleotides) under uncultured Tomentella. RNAcentral's name for it is "eukaryotic LSU rRNA". Lineage: Eukaryota; Fungi; Basidiomycota; Agaricomycetes; Thelephorales; Thelephoraceae. The record is from RNAcentral.